RNAcentral lists this long non-coding RNA (197 nucleotides) under Chinchilla lanigera (long-tailed chinchilla). RNAcentral's name for it is "lncRNA (ENSCLAG00000027623.1)". The record is from RNAcentral. Lineage: Eukaryota; Metazoa; Chordata; Mammalia; Rodentia; Chinchillidae.
GGCAAAGGCAAAGCCAUGUGGAAGGUGCAACGGAGGAACAGUAGCAGGGAGAGGCCGGAGUCUUGGAGGCAGAAGCAUGGGUCUCCUCUGAGGGAAGCUGUCGCCUCCUCACUGGCGACCGCUGGGAAUGAGCCAAUCUUCUCUGCCCAGAUCAUCAGAAUCCUCAUUCUACAAAGUGCUGCCUGAUCCAAAGUCAC